UAUUUGACUGAUAUAUGUUGGUUUUAAUUUGUAGGAAGGACAAAUGAUGGAACAUGGAGCUACUUAUUCUCAUGCUGAUCCACAAAAAACAGAAUGGUGCGAGAGAAAACAAGUUGUAGUACAAAAACCAGAAUUGUGCUUUAGAAUUCGAGGUUAGUAUGUUAACUAUGAAUCUCGCUAAUUUAGAGGCUCAUAAUUACGAUGUCUGCUUCAAUGAGUAUUGAAAGAAGAAUUAUUCUGUUAGCUUUUAGAGCUGAAUUGGUUUUGAUAGACCCUGCAAAGGGAAUGAAAUGAGUUGUUCUGGAAGCAGAAAAGAUAUUAGCUAAGACACCUAAUGCCUACUUACUUCUGCAAUUUGAAUACUCUGCUAAUCCCAAGAUACAUUAUGAAACUACAUGUCCAAAGAUAUGGAAAGGCAUAGAUGGGAACGUUGACACAUUUAUUUAUGGGUUGAUUGGCGUGGAACCAGUGGAGACUCCGGUGCUCUCAGGAUGACUAAAAUUUAGGCUAAUGGAUAUUUAUGUUAGCUCCGUUGUAUUAGCAGUCCAUUGACGAAAGUGUGCACGUCACCAGCAGAAUAUGAAGACACUUGUGUAGUUAACAUUUCUUAUCGCCAAGCCUGCUACACUACUUUUAACUAUCACUCUCAUGUUUUCUUCUUUCAGCCAGCUGACAAAUGGUUCCUUUUGUGAUCUAAUAUAUAUCUUAACUUCGCAAGGGUUAAAUGUAGUUUCCUGCAGCUUCUCUUAACAAGCGCCUUACUAUCAAUUGUUUUGUUAGCCAUGUUGACCGUCAAUUCG
Molecule: long non-coding RNA, 800 nt
Organism: Vicia villosa (hairy vetch)
Lineage: Eukaryota; Viridiplantae; Streptophyta; Magnoliopsida; Fabales; Fabaceae
Exons: 3
Source: RefSeq, a predicted model, not a curated record